CACCUGUGCACCCAUAAAAGCCCACUCCUACACCUUCCCCUCUCCUUUCUUUGCUCUCUGCUUCCUUAUGCUCCUUUGGGUGGAGAGCAGAUGGCUGCAUUUUUAGGGCUAAUACAAACCUUCAUAUUUUUAAACUUUUGAUCCUGAAAUUUAGAUUGGUGGUUUGGGCAUUUUUUUUAAAGUAGAUGUAUUUUUAGUCUCAAAGUUUGGACUAAAGAGAAGAAGACUGGAAAUGUGUCCUGAGCUGAAUAUUUGAAGGAGGAAUUCAGCACAUCAGCAAACACAGAGAGGGGAUAUGGCAUUCAAGAGACUCCAGGAGCCUUUUACCACCUCAGGGGCCUGGCCUAGGUCUUGUUGGAAUAAAUCAGCCUGAGGGGAGAUAGCAUUUAAAAAACCCCAGGAGCUGGUGUUGCUUCUGCAAGGAAUGACUGCCCUAUCAUACUCAAACAGCACAAGUGAAAUGGAAAAUAAACAGAGAAGGAUCCUCCUUUGCCCCAAGACAUGUUGCAGACAACCCAUCUUUGCCUCCUGAAAAGUCCUGCAGGCAAACAAGAGGUCCCAUCUGUGAUGCUGGCUACCCUGGAGGUGCCACUGAAAACUCGGGAAGCAGAAGAGUUCUUGCCUCCCUGAUGGACGCAUAAAAAACCAGUUGCACCUGGGAAAGUGAAGAGAUUUGACACCAAGACCUCUUCUCCCAAUGGCCACAAUCCCUUUCCAAAGGGCCUGUCUGGGCAGUUUGUCCACACACAGGAGGACCUGACUCCUCCCUGGGAGGAGUGAGGGUGUGUUUGGGAAUUUGAAGGCAGUGUUCUUCAUGUCAUUCCUCCAAUGUCUUCACUCUCUGUGCCACAGGGGAGAGGGGAGCCUCACUUCAGCCCAUGAGCUGGACACCUGCUUGUCCAAAGGUGACACCAAGACACUGAAGAAGAGAGAACCUAUCCACAGGUGGUGUGGUCAGGACUGGCAAGGUCAUCAAGGCACCACUGAGGUAGCUGAAACUUAGAGAAGCAUGCCAGGAUUCAAGUGCAUCUAAUUUAAGAGUCUUACAGGUUCCCUGUGCCAGAGAUCAUCUCUUUCCUCCUAAAUCAGAAGUUGAUGGUUUCAUGUCUGAGUCCAGGAACACAGUGAUUCUUGGAGUUCUCUUUGCUUGGCCUCCUUAACCUGAUGGAAUCAACAGGCUGGUUCUUCUCCUAGGCCCAAAGCUUUUCCAAAGAAGCAGAGACCUUCCCACUGGCUCCAUGGCCCAGCUGUCCCCUGUGGCAGUCAGUACAGUAUACUAAAUCACCGAGGUCUGCCCAGGAGAAAUUGCUGCUGCUCCAUUAUCCUGCUGUCAGCAUCCACCACACUUGUGAGAAUUAAGUUCCACAUCAGAAAAUAAUAAAUGCAAUAUUAUGAGCAGAGGGGAGAGGAGAUUAAAAAACUUGUGUAAAGAGCCUUCUGGUCCCCAUGCUGUUUAUUGCACUUUGUGACUUUGUUUUGUUUUUGAUGUCACUGAAGUUGGACUUCUAAUUUUCCUCUGAUAAUCAAAUGACUGGUUUGUAAUUUCCCUAUAGCUCCAAGAA
Hirundo rustica (Barn swallow) is the source of this 1562-nucleotide long non-coding RNA. RefSeq lists it as uncharacterized. The record is from RefSeq and is a predicted model, not a curated record. NCBI's taxonomy places the organism in Eukaryota, Metazoa, Chordata, Aves, Passeriformes, Hirundinidae. The transcript is spliced from 9 exons.